GGCCUGGUGGUCUAGCGGUUACGAUUCUUGCUUCGGGUGCGAGAGGCCCCGGGUUCAAAUCCCGGCCAGGCCC
This 73-nucleotide transfer RNA is filed under the name Pleurotus ostreatus PC15. RNAcentral's name for it is "tRNA-Pro (CGG) (tRNA-Pro-CGG-2-1)". It matches the Rfam family "tRNA". From Rfam's summary of the family: Transfer RNA (tRNA) molecules are approximately 80 nucleotides in length. Their secondary structure includes four short double-helical elements and three loops (D, anti-codon, and T loops). Lineage: Eukaryota; Fungi; Basidiomycota; Agaricomycetes; Agaricales; Pleurotaceae. The record is from RNAcentral.